RNAcentral lists this long non-coding RNA (815 nucleotides) under Homo sapiens (human). RNAcentral describes it as "non-protein coding lnc-PCDHGA1-2:10". Lineage: Eukaryota; Metazoa; Chordata; Mammalia; Primates; Hominidae. The record is from RNAcentral.
GCAGGCUUUUGAGACACACAUUAGGAGAGGACUCUGCCCGCUGUCUGUCUCACAAUCUGCUCGAAAUAUCUUGGUCAGGAAUCUCAGGAUGUCUAGUGACCCCGAGUGAGGUGCUGCCUUUUAUUCCUGAGCAUCUUUGGAAGCAGGAAGCAGGGAGCAACGGUAGCGAGAGGUAUUCGGAUCUGAGUAUCAGCAGGAAGAAGAAACAGAGGAAGAAGUCCCCCAUAAGGAAGGCGUGAGGAGCGCAGGAAGCGCUGUUUCCCUGCCUGAGAUCUUUAUUCUACUAGGUCUUUAUUCUACGUAGCCGAUACGCUGUAAAAUUCUGGAAGAGAAGGCUAGGGGUUUAAGGUUGGUAAUCUCUCAGAAGAUCUGCGUCUCGGUGACGGAAAGAACUAAGGGUAAGUGCUGAGAAGCCUCUCUUUACAGCCAGAGAACGAGCCAGAGCCGAGCUUGAGAAUGACGGGAUAGAUCUAGCAGUUAUGCCCAAGGAAGACCCUCGGCCCUUUGAAUUUGAAGGCACUGAAAAUCGUAUAAAUGUUUUCAUAUAAACAUACUCACAGAUGGAAUUCUAAACUGGUAGCAGACCCUGAAGGACAAUGUCACCAUCAGAACCACCAACAAGGACAAACUGUCCCUCUCCUGCAUCACCCUGCAUACCAUCUGCAUCCACAAAAAUGCUCAUUCUUCAACAAGCCUCCUAUUUCUUUUGGGUGACUGGGAACACUGCCCAGCACCUCCAUCACAUGCUUUAGCGCUUCCCACCCUAACUUAGGGUCCCAUAUGCCUCCUGUUUCUUCUUGACCAGUGACCUGCCA